AAUUUAUUUAUUGCGAAGCAUAGUCGGUAAAAGCAACAAAGGCUUUCUUCCAGACGUCACGAACUUCAUUGGUCAACGCGUUGCCCAUCUCUUCUUGCAUAGCCGUCAUCCAGAUAGGUCCAAAUUUCUGUCAACGGUUCAGAGCAGGGCAUCGUUCGGGAUGUGGAAUUUUAAGAUGGGGCAGGAUGUAAUCUAAACUGGCGACGCAGGAGUAGGCCGCAUUCAGGAAGUCGUGAUUAUUUGGCAAAUCAGUGAGAGAAAAAGCCAUCAAGUGUUUUACCUCACAAAAACUUUGGGUGCGAAAUCGCUGCGUUUCCUCAGAAUACUCCAGCUGUUGUUCAUCGUGGUAAUAUCGUUUUCACUUAAGAUAUUAAAGAAGCCACCACCUCCUCCUUCCAUCAUUCGACUUUCACCUCCAUAACUAAAUUUGUCAGCGCCAGCGCGAUUGCCUGACGAAUGGAAAGUUUUGGUUAUUCCAGUGCUCAAGUCGAGGACAGUCGUCACAGUGGUCGUCGUCACAAACGGGCCGCCUGUCGUUCCAUGGUCACAUCCGAUCACAUCGUCCGUUGAAAGGAUAGCAAAUUUCUCGUUGAAUCAAUACCAACAACAUACGUAAGCCAUACUCACUCCGGAUGUAUAUGUUUAAUAAAUGAAUGUGUCGACAAUAAAUCAAAAAGUCAUCCCGAAA
Daphnia magna is the source of this 688-nucleotide long non-coding RNA. RefSeq lists it as uncharacterized. The transcript is spliced from 4 exons. Lineage: Eukaryota; Metazoa; Arthropoda; Branchiopoda; Diplostraca; Daphniidae. The record is from RefSeq and is a predicted model, not a curated record.